This is a long non-coding RNA of Varanus komodoensis (Komodo dragon), 1613 nucleotides long. RefSeq lists it as uncharacterized. The transcript is spliced from 3 exons. The record is from RefSeq and is a predicted model, not a curated record. NCBI's taxonomy places the organism in Eukaryota, Metazoa, Chordata, Lepidosauria, Squamata, Varanidae.
GGGUACCCGCCCGGUCGCCGCGUUCGCCCUUCUGCGGAACGGCGAGGCGCGCGGGGGCUUUUCCAGGCCGGCUUCUCCUUUCCUUUCCUUUCCAAAUCACCGCUCGAUGUAUUCGCACCCGGAUCCUCCGCGAGGCCGCAGUCAAGGCGGGAAGAUGCUCAGCAUUUCAAGUGGAUCCAGUGUUACGCAAGACAGACAACCAGAGUCCCUACACAGAAUCGCACAACCAAGUCCACCCGCUGCUGAAUGCAGGAUGACCGUCUGACUGCCUCUUGGGCGCCUCCAAUGUGGGAGAGCCAUCAACCCCGCCAAGGCCGCCCUUUCGAAAAGGUGUUCCCACUUGCCUUGGCUUCGGAGUCGAGCCACGGCUGUUUUCUCGAAGAGGGGGGAAAUGGGGUGUUGAGAGAUACGGGUGGGAAGGAGACAAGCCCUCCCUCGCACAAGUCACCCAUCGAGCUGUCCUUUGACUGGGCCCAGCAUCCAGGGCGUGUGUGACGCAUAACUAUUUUGAUAGAGGGGGAGACUCAGUUUUGCCAGGAGCGGUGCGAUUCUCAAAGCUUGCUGUGUCAGACACCUGUGUCCCAAGGUAAAAACAGCGGCUGCCACCAAACCAACCCUUGCUUAGCUUCCUCGGGAGUACAACUCCAGGGAGCUGCUGAUUAGAAUCCGAUUAGCACUGCCGGUUGCUGAUGCUUCAGUGUCCAAGCCAGCAAUCUGUAAACGCAGCCAGAAAAAUACUACCUCCACCAAGUGCCUGCCAACAGAAGAGGCUGAUGGCUUGCGCUCUGCAUGAUUAAUUGCUCUCGGCCUGCCUUUUUUCCAGCCAGACCCAACUGGGUCAAAGUUUGUCCUCUCCUGUCAGGCCUUGGCCAAGGUCCGAGAUCAGCUGUUGAUGGGAGUCCGGUUGCAAAGCAGGCAGACGGCAAGCCGAGAGACAGAGGAGGAGAUGCGGCCCAUGCCAAGCCGGUGAUCGGAGUCAACAGGUGGGCCAGGCUAGGUGUUCAGCUCAGCUGCACAGAGCCCAGCCAGGCUUCCAUGAGCUCUGCAGGCCACCUGGUCCGGCUCACGACGCCUUCCCUGGCCAUUAGAGGGGUGGCAGGGAAGACCCCACCCGUAACCCUUUCCACCCACAAGCCCCCUCCGAGAUGCCAGUGUCCCUGUUGCAAGGCUUGUCGCUGCACUGAGAACAAGGAGCAAACUGCCUACCCUGAGAGCGGCACUACCUGUUGCACCUGCCUCGGUCACUGGCAUGGGCUUGCCGAGAACAGAUGCACACACCUGGCCUCCCCAGGAGGUGAGUUAAUUGCUCCUUACACAGGGAGAAUGCCUUGCACCUUGAGAGGCAUUUCCCAUUCUUUGCAGCUUUUUAUGCUGCUGACGAAGGCCAAGGAAAGAGGGCUUUCCCCGUGGGAUGCCAAGAUGGAGCACUGGAACCCGGGACCUUCUGCAACAGACGAGGGCAUCGCCAUGGAGCUCUGGUCCCCUCAUUGCCAGCUCUGUUGGACGGUGCAAUGCAAACACACAUUAUCCUCCAAGUUCAGGUCCACUGGAGUCAACAGCUGGGUUCAGACAACACAAUAACACUCAAGGGCUGAGUGUGGGUUUUCCUUGAA